GUGCUCGCUUUGGCAGCAUAUAUACUAAAAUAGAAACGAUACAGAGAAGAUUAGCAUGGCCCCUACACAAGGAUAAGUAAAUUUGUGAAGCAUUCCGUAUUUUU
Hippopotamus amphibius kiboko is the source of this 104-nucleotide small nuclear RNA. The record is from RefSeq and is a predicted model, not a curated record. NCBI's taxonomy places the organism in Eukaryota, Metazoa, Chordata, Mammalia, Artiodactyla, Hippopotamidae.